GACGAACCGUGCGAACGUUGUUCGGAAUCACUGGGCUUAAAGGGCGCGUAGGCGGGCUGCCAAGUUUGGGGUGAAAUCCUCCGGCUCAACCGGAGCAGUGCCUCGAAUACUGGCGGUCUCGAGGGAGGUAGGGGCGUGCGGAACUGUGGGUGGAGCGGUGAAAUGCGUUGAUAUCCACAGGAACUCCGGUGGCGAAGGCGGCACGCUGGACCUUUUCUGACGCUGAGGCGCGAAAGCCAGGGGAGCGAACGGG
Molecule: ribosomal RNA, 253 nt
Filed under: uncultured bacterium
Lineage: Bacteria
Description: partial 16S ribosomal RNA
Rfam family: Bacterial small subunit ribosomal RNA
Source: RNAcentral